This 1737-nucleotide ribosomal RNA is filed under the name Salmonella enterica. Its description in RNAcentral is "bacterial LSU rRNA". It matches the Rfam family "Bacterial large subunit ribosomal RNA", at positions 1223 to 2925 of the family's 2925-position model. The record is from RNAcentral. RNAcentral also lists the same sequence under 1 other name. Lineage: Bacteria; Pseudomonadati; Pseudomonadota; Gammaproteobacteria; Enterobacterales; Enterobacteriaceae.
GUUGGGUAGGGGAGCGUUCUGUAAGCCUGUGAAGGUGUGUCGUGAGGCAUGCUGGAGGUAUCAGAAGUGCGAAUGCUGACAUAAGUAACGAUAAAGCGGGUGAAAAGCCCGCUCGCCGGAAGACCAAGGGUUCCUGUCCAACGUUAAUCGGGGCAGGGUGAGUCGACCCCUAAGGCGAGGCCGAAAGGCGUAGUCGAUGGGAAACGGGUUAAUAUUCCCGUACUUGGUGUUACUGCGAAGGGGGGACGGAGAAGGCUAUGUUGGCCGGGCGACGGUUGUCCCGGUUUAAGCGUGUAGGUGUGUGUUCCAGGUAAAUCCGGUUCACUUUAACACUGAGGCGUGACGACGAGGCACUACGGUGCUGAAGCAACAAAUGCCCUGCUUCCAGGAAAAGCCUCUAAGCAUCAGGUAACAUCAAAUCGUACCCCAAACCGACACAGGUGGUCAGGUAGAGAAUACCAAGGCGCUUGAGAGAACUCGGGUGAAGGAACUAGGCAAAAUGGUGCCGUAACUUCGGGAGAAGGCACGCUGACACGUAGGUGAAGUGAUUUACUCAUGGAGCUGAAGUCAGUCGAAGAUACCAGCUGGCUGCAACUGUUUAUUAAAAACACAGCACUGUGCAAACACGAAAGUGGACGUAUACGGUGUGACGCCUGCCCGGUGCCGGAAGGUUAAUUGAUGGGGUCAGCGCAAGCGAAGCUCCUGAUCGAAGCCCCGGUAAACGGCGGCCGUAACUAUAACGGUCCUAAGGUAGCGAAAUUCCUUGUCGGGUAAGUUCCGACCUGCACGAAUGGCGUAAUGAUGGCCAGGCUGUCUCCACCCGAGACUCAGUGAAAUUGAACUCGCUGUGAAGAUGCAGUGUACCCGCGGCAAGACGGAAAGACCCCGUGAACCUUUACUAUAGCUUGACACUGAACAUUGAGCCUUGAUGUGUAGGAUAGGUGGGAGGCUUUGAAGUGUGGACGCCAGUCUGCAUGGAGCCGACCUUGAAAUACCACCCUUUAAUGUUUGAUGUUCUAACGUGGACCCGUGAUCCGGGUUGCGGACAGUGUCUGGUGGGUAGUUUGACUGGGGCGGUCUCCUCCUAAAGAGUAACGGAGGAGCACGAAGGUUGGCUAAUCCUGGUCGGACAUCAGGAGGUUAGUGCAAUGGCAUAAGCCAGCUUGACUGCGAGCGUGACGGCGCGAGCAGGUGCGAAAGCAGGUCAUAGUGAUCCGGUGGUUCUGAAUGGAAGGGCCAUCGCUCAACGGAUAAAAGGUACUCCGGGGAUAACAGGCUGAUACCGCCCAAGAGUUCAUAUCGACGGCGGUGUUUGGCACCUCGAUGUCGGCUCAUCACAUCCUGGGGCUGAAGUAGGUCCCAAGGGUAUGGCUGUUCGCCAUUUAAAGUGGUACGCGAGCUGGGUUUAGAACGUCGUGAGACAGUUCGGUCCCUAUCUGCCGUGGGCGCUGGAGAACUGAGGGGGGCUGCUCCUAGUACGAGAGGACCGGAGUGGACGCAUCACUGGUGUUCGGGUUGUCAUGCCAAUGGCACUGCCCGGUAGCUAAAUGCGGAAGAGAUAAGUGCUGAAAGCAUCUAAGCACGAAACUUGCCCCGAGAUGAGUUCUCCCUGAGACUUAAAGUCUCCUGAAGGAACGUUGAAGACGACGACGUUGAUAGGCCGGGUGUGUAAGCGCAGCGAUGCGUUGAGCUAACCGGUACUAAUGAACCGUGAGGCUUAACCUUACAACGCCGAAG